RNAcentral lists this non-coding RNA (31 nucleotides) under Rattus norvegicus (Norway rat). The record is from RNAcentral. Lineage: Eukaryota; Metazoa; Chordata; Mammalia; Rodentia; Muridae.
UAACCACCUGUUAAAUGAUUGAUCCCGCCUA